RNAcentral lists this ribosomal RNA (256 nucleotides) under uncultured Lactobacillus sp. RNAcentral's name for it is "partial 16S ribosomal RNA". It matches the Rfam family "Bacterial small subunit ribosomal RNA", at positions 107 to 354 of the family's 1533-position model. Lineage: Bacteria; Bacillati; Bacillota; Bacilli; Lactobacillales; Lactobacillaceae. The record is from RNAcentral.
UGAGUAACACGUGGGGAACCUGCCCCAUAGUCUGGGAUACCACUUGGAAACAGGUGCUAAUACCGGAUAAGAAAGCGGAUCGCAUGAUCAGCUUUUAAAAGGCGGCGUAAGCUGUCGCUAUGGGAUGGCCCCGCGGUGCAUUAGCUAGUUGGUAAGGUAACGGCUUACCAAGGCAACGAUGCGUAGCCGACCUGAGAGGGUGAUCGGCCACACUGGAACUGAGACACGGUCCAGACUCCUACGGGAGGCAGCAGGC